CUACGGGGGGCAGCAGUGGGGAAUAUUGGACAAUGGGGGAAACCCUGAUCCAGCCAUGCCGCGUGUGUGAAGAAGGCCUGCGGGUUGUAAAGCACUUUCGGUUGGGAGGACUGCUUCUAGCACUAAUAUUGUUGGAAGUUGACGUUACCUUCAGAAGAAGCACCGGCUAACUCCGUGCCAGCAGCCGCGGUAAUACGGAGGGUGCAAGCGUUAAUCGGAAUUACUGGGCGUAAAGCGCGCGUAGGCGGCUAGAUAAGUCGGGUGUGAAAGCCCCGGGCUUAACCUGGGAACUGCAUCCGAUACUGUCUAGCUUGAGUACAGGAGAGGAGAGUGGAAUUCCACAUGUAGCGGUGAAAUGCGUAGAUAUGUGGAGGAACACCAAUGGCGAAGGCAGCUCUCUGGCCUGAUACUGACGCCGAGGUGCGAAAGCGUGGGGAGCAAACAGGAUUAGAUACCCGUGUAGUC
Molecule: ribosomal RNA, 465 nt
Filed under: uncultured bacterium
Lineage: Bacteria
Description: partial 16S ribosomal RNA
Rfam family: Bacterial small subunit ribosomal RNA
Source: RNAcentral